UGCAGAUCUGCCUCUCUUUGCACAGUGGGCAUGUCCCUACAACAAAGUACCUCUCACAUGUGACAUUCAGGUGGCAGGAAACUUGCUUUUUAACCAAGUCCUGCGAGAACUCUCAAAGAAAAGUUCCUGUUCAGGGGAUUUCGUGUUGUUGGAGGCUUCUGGGUGUUGCGCUUCUUUGAAAAAGCAACACUCUGAUACAGCAAUCCAUCACAGAGGAGCUGUGCCUCCCCGCCUCCUCGCCUCCCUGAGAUUAAUUACAGGCAAGGGCCACGUGUCUGGCUUGGCCUGUGAUUGAUCCUGCAGGAGGAAAUGCAAGGGAUGCCAACGGGAAGCUAAUGCUGCCUUUUAUCCGGUAAGCAAAGUUCAGGGAUGUUUGCAUUUUUCGAGGUAAGCAUGCCUCUCAAGACCCAGGAUGGAUAGACUGUCCUCUCAGCAGGAAUUCUUGCCAAGGCAACACAGAGGUGGGCCUCAGUGGGCCCCACUGGGGCCACAGAGGCCAGACAUUCAGAAGUGCUAAUUUUGCAAAUAGCCUGAUUCCAUCAUGUUUUAAUUAGCAUGAAGUAUUGCAAGCUGAUUCUGUUCAAGAGGUUGGCAAGUGAGAACUGGAUUAAGAUCAGUGCAAUAGACUUGGGAUAUAUAUAUAUAGGAAUUUUCUAAUCACUGAAAUGUGCUAGGUGCUGGAAUUUCCUAAUUUUUGUAGAAAAG
RNAcentral lists this long non-coding RNA (705 nucleotides) under Ictidomys tridecemlineatus (thirteen-lined ground squirrel). Its description in RNAcentral is "lncRNA (ENSSTOG00000034564.1)". Lineage: Eukaryota; Metazoa; Chordata; Mammalia; Rodentia; Sciuridae. The record is from RNAcentral.